Molecule: ribosomal RNA, 317 nt
Filed under: uncultured bacterium
Lineage: Bacteria
Description: bacterial SSU rRNA
Rfam family: Bacterial small subunit ribosomal RNA
Source: RNAcentral
UAUGAACGCUGGCGGCGUGCCUAAUACAUGCAAGUCGAGCGAACGGACGAGAAGCUUGCUUCUCUGAUGUUAGCGGCGGACGGGUGAGUAACACGUGGAUAACCUACCUAUAAGACUGGGAUAACUUCGGGAAACCGGAGCUAAUACCGGAUAAUAUUUUGAACCGCAUGGUUCAAAAGUGAAAGACGGUCUUGCUGUCACUUAUAGAUGGAUCCGCGCUGCAUUAGCUAGUUGGUGAGGUAACGGCCCACCAAGGCGACGAUCGGUAGCCGGACUGAGAGGUUGAACGGCCACAUUGGGACUGAGACACGGCCCAG